AAUCUCAGUUCACAGGGAAUACCACGGACUGCAAGGAAGGACAUUGGAACUGGCUUAUGUAUUCCAAUUUUGAUUGCAGUUGAUGAAAGAUGUCGUACUUAGGGAAACAUUAGAUGAAAUUACUUUGAAAUACCCCUAGUUUGUCAACUUCUAGCCAAGAUCCUACAGGUUAGUUGAAUUGGAGAACAGAUGUACACACAGUAGAAAGGAUAUUACCUGAAAACAUCAAAUGACGGGGAAAAAAGAAGACUGCCUAUUUCAGAGAUAUAUAUUUUCACAGUAUCAUCACCCAUAGCACUACGAUCAAAAAUUAAAAAUGACAUUAAGGAAGAAAA
This is a long non-coding RNA of Saccostrea echinata, 335 nucleotides long. RefSeq lists it as uncharacterized. The transcript is spliced from 3 exons. The record is from RefSeq and is a predicted model, not a curated record. NCBI's taxonomy places the organism in Eukaryota, Metazoa, Mollusca, Bivalvia, Ostreida, Ostreidae.